Molecule: ribosomal RNA, 618 nt
Filed under: uncultured Pezizomycotina
Lineage: Eukaryota; Fungi; Ascomycota
Description: eukaryotic LSU rRNA
Rfam family: Eukaryotic large subunit ribosomal RNA
Source: RNAcentral
UGCAUAUCAAUUAAGCGGAGGAAAAGAAACCAACAGGGAUUACCUCAGUAACGGCGAGUGAAGCGGUAACAGCUCAAAUUUGAAAUCUGGCUCUUUCAGGGUCCGAGUUGUAAUUUGUAGAAGAUGCUUUGGGCAUUGCUCCGGUCUAAGUUCCUUGGAACAGGACGUCAUAGAGGGUGAGAAUCCCGUAUGUGACUGGUGGCAUUUGUCCGUGUAAAGCUCUUUCGACGAGUCGAGUUGUUUGGGAAUGCAGCUCAAAAUGGGUGGUAUAUUUCAUCUAAAGCUAAAUAUUGGCCAGAGACCGAUAGCGCACAAGUAGAGUGAUCGAAAGAUGAAAAGCACUUUGGAAAGAGAGUUAAACAGUACGUGAAAUUGUUGAAAGGGAAGCGCUUGCAACCAGACUUGCAGGUCGUUGAUCAUCCGGGGUUCUCCCCGGUGCACUCGGCGGCUUUCAGGCCAGCAUCGGUUUGAGUGGUGGGAUAAAGGCCUUGGGAAUGUGGCUCCUCUCGGGGAGUGUUAUAGCCCAAGGUGCAAUGCCGCCUAUUCGGACCGAGGACCGCGCUUCGGCUAGGAUGCUGGCGUAAUGGUUGUAAGCGACCCGUCUUGAAACACGGACCA